RNAcentral lists this ribosomal RNA (421 nucleotides) under uncultured bacterium. Its description in RNAcentral is "partial 16S ribosomal RNA". It matches the Rfam family "Bacterial small subunit ribosomal RNA", at positions 355 to 784 of the family's 1533-position model. The record is from RNAcentral.
UGGGGAAUAUUGCACAAUGGGCGAAAGCCUGAUGCAGCGACGCCGCGUGCGGGAUGAAGGCCUUCGGGUUGUAAACCGCUUUUAAUUGGGAGCAAGCGAGAGUGAGUGUACCUUUUGAAUAAGCACCGGCUAACUACGUGCCAGCAGCCGCGGUAAUACGUAGGGUGCAAGCGUUAUCCGGAAUUAUUGGGCGUAAAGAGCUCGUAGGCGGUUUGUCACGCCUGGUGUGAAAGUCCAUCGCUUAACGGUGGAUCUGCGCCGGGUACGGGCAGGCUAGAGUGCAGUAGGGGAGAUUGGAAUUCCCGGUGUAACGGUGGAAUGUGUAGAUAUCGGGGAAGAACACCAAUGGCGAAGGCAGAUCUCUGGGCUGUUACUGACGCUGAGGAGCGGAAACGNCAUGGGGAGCGAACAGGAUUAGAUA